GCUAGCUAGAGAAAUUUCCCUCUCAGAUUAUUUUAGUUGGACAUAAUUGCCGUCGUUUCGAUGCCCCAAGACUAAUGAGAUCCCUGUCUCAAUAUAAUUUAAGCACAUCAUUUCAAAAGAAAGUAAUCGGCUUUAUGGAUACACUAUCUUUUUUCAGGAACAAGUAUCCCCAUCUGAAGUGCCACAAGCAGGAAUUUUUGGCUGAAAAUUUAUUACAAAAACAAUACCAGGCACACAAUGCUUCUGAGGAUGUUAGUAUCUUACAAUCUAUUCUUAACCAUGCACAACCAUCAGAAACAGAGAUUUCAGAAAAUUCUUUUUGUACAGAAUCCCUAAUCAGAAAUAUUGUUUCUGUCAAAC
This 360-nucleotide long non-coding RNA is filed under the name Mytilus galloprovincialis (Mediterranean mussel). The record is from RNAcentral. Lineage: Eukaryota; Metazoa; Mollusca; Bivalvia; Mytilida; Mytilidae.